This 328-nucleotide ribosomal RNA is filed under the name Bacillus licheniformis. Its description in RNAcentral is "bacterial SSU rRNA". It matches the Rfam family "Bacterial small subunit ribosomal RNA", at positions 54 to 373 of the family's 1533-position model. The record is from RNAcentral. Lineage: Bacteria; Bacillati; Bacillota; Bacilli; Caryophanales; Bacillaceae.
CAUGCAAGUCGAGCGGACAGAUGGGAGCUUGCUCCCUGAUGUUAGCGGCGGACGGGUGAGUAACACGUGGGUAACCUGCCUGUAAGACUGGGAUAACUCCGGGAAACCGGGGCUAAUACCGGAUGCUUGAUUGAACCGCAGGUUCAAUUAUAAAAGGUGGCUUUUAGCUACCACUUACGAUGGACCCGCGGCGCACUAGCUGGUUGGUGAGGUAACGGCUCACCAAGGCAACGAUGCGUAGCCAACCUGAGAGGGUGAUCGGCCACACUGGGACUGAGACACGGCCCACACCCCUACGGGAGGCAGCAUUAGGGAAUCUUCCGCAAUG